Molecule: ribosomal RNA, 440 nt
Filed under: uncultured bacterium
Lineage: Bacteria
Description: partial 16S ribosomal RNA
Rfam family: Bacterial small subunit ribosomal RNA
Source: RNAcentral
CCUACGGGAGGCAGCAGUGGGGAAUAUUGCACAAUGGGGGAAACCCUGAUGCAGCGACGCCGCGUGAGUGAAGAAGUAUUUCGGUAUGUAAAGCUCUAUCAGCAGGGAAGAAAAUGACGGUACCUGACUAAGACGCCCCGGCUAACUACGUGCCAGAGGCCGCGGUACUUCGUAGGGGGCAAGCGUUAUCCGGAUUUACGGGGUUUAAAGGGAGCGUAGACGGCAAGACAGGUCAGAAGUAAAAGCCCAGGGCUCAACGCUGGGACUGCUUUUGAAACUGCCGGGCUGGAGUGCAGGAGAGGUAAGCGGAAUUCCUAGUGUAGCGGUGAAAUGCGUAGAUAUUAGGAGGAACACCAGUGGCGAAGGCGGCUUACGGGACUGUAACUGACGUUGAGGCUCGAAAGCGUGGGGAGCAAACAGGAUUAGAUACCCUUGUAGUC